RNAcentral lists this unclassified non-coding RNA (240 nucleotides) under soil metagenome. Its description in RNAcentral is "partial contains 5.8S ribosomal RNA, internal transcribed spacer 2, and large subunit ribosomal RNA". The record is from RNAcentral.
AACCAUAGAAACCUGCGGAGUACCUGCGGAAGGAUCAUUACAGAGUUGCAAAACUCCCUAAACCAUUGUGAACGUUACCUAAACCGUUGCUUCGGCGGGCGGCCCGGGUCCUUCCCGGCCCCCAUCGGCCCUCGCGGGCGCCCGCCGGAGGUAAACCAAACUAUUGCAUUGUAUGGCCUCUCUGAGUCUUCUGUACUGAAUAAGUCAAAACUUUCAACAACGGAUCUCAGAUCGGAAGAG